Long non-coding RNA from Megalobrama amblycephala (Wuchang bream), 1051 nucleotides. RefSeq lists it as uncharacterized. Lineage: Eukaryota; Metazoa; Chordata; Actinopteri; Cypriniformes; Xenocyprididae. The transcript is spliced from 3 exons. The record is from RefSeq and is a predicted model, not a curated record.
UGUCACGAGCAUUAGUAAAAUUUUGCUGAUAAAUCCUCUGACGAGUGAGAUUACCGAAUACCUAUUUGAAAAACAGUGUUUUCCUGACUUAAAAAAAAAAAAAAAAAAAAAAAAAAAAAAAAAUCAAUGCCGUAUUUUCUGUCUGCUGUUCAAGAAUGAACAUGAAUAAUUUUUCAUGAAUCGGUCUUAACAACUCACUCGCACACUGAAUCGUUUAGAGCGGUUUUCUGAAAAACUGUAGAACAACAAACCGUUUAGAACACAAUGAACUAUAACUGUUACUUAUAAACUGGACUAACCUACAAAUCCAUCCAAUCGCCAAAGACGAGAAGGUCUUUGUGAAGAUCACCUGCAAGUGCAGCUUAUGAGACUGUGUAACCUUACUGCAGCCUAUGUGUUCACCGCUGAUCAGCUUGUGAAAGCACAUGCCGUCAUGUACGCUGAAUUUGUGUGUCCCUGGACCAAUGAGUAAUACAAGUCUCAGGGGUUUUGAGAAGGCAUUGCCUCAUAGCGUGUAUGUUCUGCCUCCUCCUUCCACAGCCACGCCUGUGAGAACACAGAAAAGAACAUGUAAAUCUUCCUUCACUCAGCACAAAGAGACCGUCUCUGUGGCCGUGGGCCAUGGCUUGGGCACCGUUCCGGCAUCAUGAGGCUCAGGGGUGGCGGGUAAAUGGUCAGAGGCACUUGACCUUUCAUGACCUUGUUAUUUUUCAGUCCAUGGGGGCAAGCGGGGGGAUGGUUUACACAAACUGCCACAAUGUUACUAGCAUUCCACUGGGAAGGAGGAUGACUUCCACAUGGAAUGCUUAAGAGCUAUGUUCAUGCAUAUAAAGGAUAAAUGGGGCUGAUAGCUAAAAUCAUUUUAUAUAAAUAUAAUGAUAUUGUAUAUAUACACUACCGUUCAAAAGUUUGGUGUCGAUACGACGUCUCUUAUGCUUAUCUUAUGCUUUUUACAUUACUCCAGUUUUCAGUCUCACAUGAUUUUUCAGAAAUCUUUCUAAUAUGCUAAUUUCUUAUAAUCGUCAAAGUUUAAAAAACAGUUGAAAAAGAA